Molecule: ribosomal RNA, 368 nt
Filed under: uncultured bacterium
Lineage: Bacteria
Description: bacterial SSU rRNA
Rfam family: Bacterial small subunit ribosomal RNA
Source: RNAcentral
ACUCCUACGGGAGGCAGCAGUGGGGAAUAUUGCACAAUGGGCGCAAGCCUGAUGCAGCCAUGCCGCGUGUGUGAAGAAGGCCUUCGGGUUGUAAAGCACUUUCAGUCGUGAGGAAGGUAGUGUAGUUAAUAGCUGCAUUAUUUGACGUUAGCGACAGAAGAAGCACCGGCUAACUCCGUGCCAGCAGCCGCGGUAAGUACGGAGGGUGCGAGCGUUAAUCGGAAUUACUGGGCGUAAAGCGCAUGCAGGUGGUUUGUUAAGUCAGAUGUGAAAGCCCGGGGCUCAACCUCGGAAUAGCAUUUGAAACUGGCAGACUAGAGUACUGUAAGAGGGGGUAGAAUUUCAGGUGUAGCGGUGAAAUGCGUAGA